This 396-nucleotide transfer-messenger RNA is filed under the name Eudoraea sp. It matches the Rfam family "transfer-messenger RNA". Rfam says of the family: Bacterial tmRNA, also known as 10Sa RNA or SsrA, is named for its dual tRNA and mRNA-like properties. Lineage: Bacteria; Pseudomonadati; Bacteroidota; Flavobacteriia; Flavobacteriales; Flavobacteriaceae. The record is from RNAcentral.
GGGGCCGACUGGUUUUGACAGCGAGACCAAUGGCUAUGUAAGCAUGCCGAGCGCUGGGAUACAGCUCGUUAAUCUCAUAUUUCACACUUUUAAAUGGCGAAUCUAAUUACGCUCUUGCCGCUUAAUCUGAAUUAUAGUAGGAUUUAGCCUCGUCUCUGCUAGGCAGAGAAGCGAGAUGUCCCUGGAUAGCCCUUGUUGACGGCGAUCUUUUUAGGGGCACCAGAAAAGUCAACACAGCCUCUUUACAGCUUCGAUAAAGGGGUAAACUAAAGAAGCUAAGUGUGUAUUAGGCGGUUUUUGGUCAGGUACACAUCGAAAAUCAAACAAAAACUAAGCAUGUAGAAAGUAUAGUAAUUGCUUGUUUGGACGAGGGUUCGAAUCCCUCCGGCUCCACGA